AGAUUGAACGCUGGCGGCGUGCCUAACACAUGCAAGUCGAGCGGUAACAGGUGUAGCAAUACAUGCUGACGAGCGGCGAACGGGUGAGUAAUGCUUUGGAAUCUUCCCAGUAGUGGGGAAUAACCAGUCGAAAGAUUGGCUAAUACCGCAUACGUCUGUAAAGGGAAAGCGGGGGCUCGUAAGACCUCGCGCUAUUGGAUGAGCCAAAGUCGGAUUAGCUAGUUGGUGGGGUAACGGCCUACCAAGGCGACAAUCCGUAGCUGGUCUGAGAGGACGACCAGCCACACCGGAACUGAGACACGGUCCGGACUCCUACGGGAGGCAGCAGUGGGGAAUAUUGGACAAUGGGGGAAACCCUGAUCCAGCGACGCCGCGUGUGUGAAGAAGGCCUGCGGGUUGUAAAGCACUUUUAGUGGGGACAAAAGCUACGGAUUAAUACUCUGUGGUCUUGAUUUAACCCAAAGAAAAGCACCGGCUAACUCUGCGCCAGCAGCCGC
RNAcentral lists this ribosomal RNA (497 nucleotides) under uncultured bacterium. RNAcentral's name for it is "SSU rRNA". It matches the Rfam family "Bacterial small subunit ribosomal RNA", at positions 26 to 518 of the family's 1533-position model. The record is from RNAcentral.